AACGAACGCUGGCGGCAUGCCUAACACAUGCAAGUCGAACGAGACCUUCGGGUCUAGUGGCGCACGGGUGCGUAACGCGUGGGAACCUGCCCUUAGGUUCGGAAUAACUCCCCGAAAGGGGUGCUAAUACCGGAUAAUGUCUUCGGACCAAAGAUUUAUCGCCUUUGGAUGGGCCCGCGUUGGAUUAGCUAGUUGGUAGGGUAAAAGCCUACCAAGGCGACGAUCCAUAGCUGGUCUGAGAGGAUGAUCAGCCACACUGGGACUGAGACACGGCCCAGACUCCUACGGGAGGCAGCAGUGGGGAAUAUUGGACAAUGGGCGAAAGCCUGAUCCAGCAAUGCCGCGUGAGUGAUGAAGGCAUUAGGGUUGUAAAGCUCUUUUACCCGGGAUGAUAAUGACAGUACCGGGAGAAUAAGCUCCGACUAACUCCGUG
RNAcentral lists this ribosomal RNA (433 nucleotides) under uncultured bacterium. RNAcentral's name for it is "partial 16S ribosomal RNA". It matches the Rfam family "Bacterial small subunit ribosomal RNA", at positions 29 to 507 of the family's 1533-position model. The record is from RNAcentral.